UACGUAGGGUGCUAACGUUGUUCGGAAUCACUGGGCCUAAAGAGCGCGUAGGCAGUCUGCUAAGUCAGGUGUGAAAUCCCCCGGCUCAACCGGGGAACUGCACCUGAUACUGUUGGGCUUGAGUGCAGGAGGGGAGAGCGGAAUUCCCGGUGUAGCGGUGAAAUGCGCAGAUAUCGGGAGGAACACCAAUUGCGAAGGCAGCUCGCUGGGACGUUACUGACGCUGAGACGCGAAAGCGUGGGGAGCAAACAGG
RNAcentral lists this ribosomal RNA (253 nucleotides) under uncultured bacterium. RNAcentral's name for it is "partial 16S ribosomal RNA". It matches the Rfam family "Bacterial small subunit ribosomal RNA", at positions 524 to 776 of the family's 1533-position model. The record is from RNAcentral.